CAAGGAGUAGUUUAGAUAGAAUGUCAGCUUUGGGAGUUGAUGGCGGAGCUGUAGUAUGUUUCCUCCUUGA
Molecule: transfer RNA, 70 nt
Filed under: Chlamyphorus truncatus (Pink fairy armadillo)
Lineage: Eukaryota; Metazoa; Chordata; Mammalia; Cingulata; Chlamyphoridae
Description: tRNA-Pro
Rfam family: tRNA
About the family: Transfer RNA (tRNA) molecules are approximately 80 nucleotides in length.
Source: RNAcentral